UCCUACGGGUGGCUGCAGUGGGGAAUUUUACACAAUGGGCGAAAGCCUGAUGUAGCAACGCCGCGUGGAGGAUGACGGAUUUAGGUCUGUAAACUCCUUUUAUAAGGGAAGAAAUUUGACGGUACCUUAUGAAUAAGCACCGGCUAACUCCGUGCCAGCAGCCGCGGUAAUACGGGGGGUGCAAGCGUUACUCGGAAUCACUGGGCGUAAAGGGAGCGUAGGCGUUCUAUUAAGUCUUGAGUGAAAGCCCGCAGCCUAACUGCGGAACUGCUCAGGAAACUGAUAGAAUUGAGUAUGGAAGAGGUAGGUGGAAUUUCCAGUGUAGGGGUAAAAUCCGUAGAUAUUGGAAGGAAUACCAGAAGCGAAGGCGACCUACUGGGACAUUACUGACGCUGAGGCUCGAAAGCGUGGGGAGCAAACAGGAUUAGAUACCCGUGUAGUC
RNAcentral lists this ribosomal RNA (442 nucleotides) under uncultured Helicobacteraceae bacterium. Its description in RNAcentral is "bacterial SSU rRNA". It matches the Rfam family "Bacterial small subunit ribosomal RNA", at positions 337 to 795 of the family's 1533-position model. The record is from RNAcentral. Lineage: Bacteria; Pseudomonadati; Campylobacterota; Epsilonproteobacteria; Campylobacterales; Helicobacteraceae.